ACAGAGAGGAGGGGAAGUGGAGGUGGUGGUGGUGGUGAAUUGAAGGGCGGGAGCUGUAUUAAUGGUCCACUUUAUUGCUUUGUACUGUUAAAAUUAAGAGCUCAGAUUUCAUGACAGCACUUUGACCGUACAUGCUUGAUUUCUUCUUCCAGCCCUGGUUUUAGUUACUGUUUCAGUCUGCAGUGACCCGAAAAGAAAGUCAACCAGACGGCUGCUGAGUGAUGGGACUGAAGCCGGAGGAGAUGACAGGUUUCAUUAAGGAAGACUUGUGGUUCCCAAUCUGAUUAUUACAUUUACUGUACAGUACUUAAAGGUGCCAUAUGUAAGAUUCUUAAGAAUUUUACGGUUUUAUUUUCCUGUAUGAAUCACUGUUUUUCACCAAUGCAUAAACUGGUUGUAGUGUAGCGACUUCCUCUGCUGCCUGUGGACUGAUUUCUUUGUGUUUCUAUGUAAGGAUGAGGGUCAAAGGAUGUGACGUUUAUGCUCCCGAGUUCCUUCUCUCUCCUCUUCCCUACAGUGUCAACAGUGGGCAACACUAGCUAAUGCGCAGAAUUCACAGAGAUUGGUUGAAUUUUAAUUAAUUCUUGCGAUUGCAACAAAUUGAUGGCUAGGUUGCAGCUGGCUGGCUAACAUUUGCUUGAUUGCUCGCUGGCGUUAUCACAAGCAAAAUACUGGUGUUGGCUGAUGGGGUGAUUUGUAAACGGCAAGCUAGUUAGUAGCAUGGAGCUAAUGGUCAAAAUAAAAUAUAGUACCCUUACAGAUAGUGAUGUUAUUCUAAAUAUGAUUUUCAGUUAUUUUACAGCAUUCAGUGUUUGUCACUGUUGGCCAACGCCCAGGAUGCUGACUGCAGUUCACUGAACGGCCACUGGUGGGCGCUGUUAACUUUAAACAACAUUAAAAAUGUUGACGUGAUGAUGGCGCUAGAUGAAAAGUCAAAGGAUCACCAAAGUUAUUACAAAUUAUCCUCUGGGGACCACGAAAUGCCUGAACAAAAUUUCAGAACAAUCCAUCAAUUCAAUCAAUGAUUACAUGCUUCGGUGUGUAAGCACCCACCAAAAAGGUUGAACGUUGAGGAAGGCCGGUCAAAAAAUAAAUAAAUUAUAAUAUAAAUUGGAGCAGUAUUAUUAUAAAAUAAACAUUUUAUUUGAACAAAACAAUACUGGAUCAUCUUACUAUGUCACUGGAUUAAAAGUAUCGGUAUAUAGAUUUGAGUAACAAUACACUGAAAUUAUUAUUGAGUUUCAGUCUAUUGUAGUUGUAGCAUACUGUGAAAAUGGUAAAAAAUUUCCCAUGGUGCACUGAGCUCCUCCCUUCCUCUCUCUUUCUGCACUCAUUCAUGUUCCAUUAAUGCAUGUUACUAACUUCACUUCUUCCCCGGAGUUCUUGUGCUUUCUCGUCUCGCAGGUUCUCAUGGAUCCUGGUGGAGCCUCCUGCCAUGGUCCUGCUAGACUGCCAUUGCUAAUAUCACUGAUAUUAUUGUUGUUAUUAUUAUUAUUAUUAUUAUUAUUACUACAGUUACUAUUAUUACUAUUGUCACUGCUCAUUGUCCUCCAUCGUUGCUGUUGUCGUCGUCAUCAUCAUCUUCAUGUUCAUCAUCUUCAGUCACUACUAUUAGUGUAGUUGUUGCUACUGUUGUUGCUGUGCAACUGUCUGUCUGUCUCUGUCUCUCUGUCUCUCUCUCUCUCUCUCUCUCACCCCAACAGGUCGAGGCAGACGACCACCCACCUAGAGCCGGAGGAUCUGUCCUAGGUUUCUGCCUUUUAACAGGCAGUUUUUCCUUGCCCUUGUCUCCAAGGUCUUGCUCAUGGUGGUACUGUUGGGUCUCUGUAAAUAAUGUUAUAAGGAGUUCGGUCUAGACCUGCUCUAUUUGAAAAGUGUCCUGAGAUAACUUCUGUUAGGAAUUGGCCUUAUACAAAUAAAAUUGAAUUGAAUUGAAUUGAACAGACGACGAGUCGGACAGACGAGAGCAGACAGACGGUGGACGUGGACAUGGAUCAGCUGUUGGUGCUGUUGCUGUUGCUGUGGAGCUCAGGACUGCAGACUGAAGGAAAACACAACUCAACAGGUUGGUGGGAGGAGACAGUCGCUGUGCAGGAACACUGGAGGUGGAACAUCAGAAUGAAUGGAGACCAGUGAUUGGCUCUUACUGGACCCUGAAGGAAGCAGCUGUUGUCUGCAGAGAACUGGACUGUGGUUCUGCUGUUUCUGUAGGAGAGAGAAAGGAGUCCUCAGACAGAUCUGUGUUGAAGAUUGAACCUGACUGUGUUCACUCUGGAUCUGCUUUGAGGGAGUGUGUAAGAUCAAAUUCCUCUCCCUACACCCUGCAUCUCAUCUGUUCAGAUCCAUUACUUCAUCAUCACUUCAUCAGAGUGGUCGUCCUGCUGCUGACUCUGCUGGUGGUGACCACCGCCCUCUAUUUCUACUGUAAGGGGCCAGAAGCCGGGCAGACAGGAGAACAUUGAGUUGGAUGAUUAUAACCUGGGUGUUCCUGCAGCUGGAGGAGGUCCGACUGAAGAGGAAGGAGCUCAGGGAGCAGAGUAGGACCUCCAAGGAGAUCCUCUCACAUCCACAUGGAUUCACAGCUGACACACAGCCAUCAGCUAAGUCCAGGAUUUUAUAUUUUUAUCCUCAUGUUUGCUGAAAUUAUUAUAUGACUUUAUAUUUUUAUUACUCUGAGCAUGAAAAGACCAAAAACAACAACAUGUUGUCUGUCUCUCAAUACUUUGACUUCCUGUCUGUGGCUCUCAGCUCCAACCCUGUUUGUUCCUCCUGAAGACGUACAUUUUUAAAAACCUCACAAAUAUAAAUGUCAUUAGAAAAUUAAAACUGCAAGCAGUGAUGAUCGGGCCCUUGCACUCCACGCAAGGGAGAAUCUGUACUGUAGUUAGGUUUAGCAGUAGGGUUACGGUUUCCAUGUCAUAUCAAAGCUGAUUUUUUAAGGCACGCCACAGACACACGGUUUGACCGAACGUACAGAUAUUAAUAACGUAACCUCCUAAACCGCUCUCUCAUGUCGGUCGUACGUGUCUUGCGCGCUGAUUUGGGUGGGUGGGGCUUAGCCAUUUGCCGGUGCCCAUGCACUAAAUGCACAAAUGGAUACGUCGAGUUUAACCAUGUUUGAUUUUUUUUUUUAGUGCUUGAGCGAGGGAAAGUGUUCAAAUAUGCAAUUAAAGGCGCAGAAAAAAAUAAAUAAAAUUCCUACAAUUAUAAUAGGUCCUUGCACUGGUCAGUGCUCGGGCCCUAACUAGACUUGAAUGCGGGAAUACUGAGGUCCAAACGCCCCAGUUCAAAAGCAAAGACACACUGACCCAGACUGGUUUGUCAUUUUGGAACAAUGUUGGCCAAGUAAUGUUAAAUAUUCAAUGAAAAUAAAAGUGAAACAACGUCAUGUAUCUAAAUCUGUUGUUACACCAGUUGUAACCAUCUAAUUUGAUGACGUUUGAACAAUUCAUACUUUGCAGUCAUGUGAUUGCCAUGGUUACCUGGUGGUAGGGUGGCCAUUUCCUUCACAUCAAAAAGGAGGACACUUUACAUACACGGGGACACGCAAGCAGAUAUUUGUUUGGUAUGAUCCGGUUUUAAAUGUUAAUGUUUUUCCACCAGAUUACAUAAAGGUGCAUACACAUACCACAUAGCUAAUAAUAAAUAUACAAGAUACAGCUCAUGACAACGUGCCCUUCCAAUUCAGAUUACAUAGGUCUAAUAAACAUCAUACAGAAACUGUUCUUAAUGUUUUUAUCUGGAUUGAUAAAGGGCUUUGCCUAUACAUAUGAGUAUGAGCAUUUUCAGUAUUUCAGUCCAACAACCGACGUUAGCUCACGUUACUUCGCUGUCCCUAAGAGUUUGAUUGACAGCCUGGUGGUAACUUAGCAACUGCAGUGAGCCCUGUUGUGGCAAUCAACACAUGGCUCAUUUGAAUAUUUAAAUGAGCCAUGUGUUGAUAGGUCACUACGAAAAUGUAACCAAUGAAAUUAUUUAUUUUGACACACAUUUUUAGCCAAUAAGUAUUAAACUAACGAGGUAAUGUGUCAAAAGGCCACAUUUUUAGUUAUUUUCUCAAGAGGAGGACAGAUGAGUGUCUGCUUGAGGACAGGGGGUUUAAAAACCGGACUGUCCGACCUAAAGCCGGACGAAUGGCCACCCUACCUGGCGGGCAAGAAACAUAUAUAUUUACAUAUAUCCGUCACCUUACACAAAAAAUGAAAGCCUACUAAAGUACGGAUAGUUAUCUUGUUUCAAGAGUGGAUGGGUUAACAAUGCUGUCGUAUGGGAGGUGAAAACCAGGAAUAUCUUCAUAAUCAAAGCUAACGUGAGUGUUACUAGUUGUUACCUGCUAAUGUUUGUAUGUCUGUAGCUAUACACAAAGUGACAUCUGUUCCGUCUGUGAUGAAGUCUUCAUCUGAAUAUGGACACCCUGUCUGCCGACGAAUGACAGCUUGAUAAGUAACAUUAGUUUAAAAAUUUGGUUCACAACAGGUAGCCAACACAUACACAUUCGCACAAAAAACAUAAAAACAUGAGAUGAUAAAUAAAUAAAAACAUAAAUACGCAUGUACACUAUAUAUAAAUAAUAAUUUUUUAAAAAGUGAAAAACUUUGCUGUGACAUGGGCAGGGAUGGAAGAUUACCUUUAGUUUGUUGAGAAACCCAACAGCUGAUGGUACAAAUGAUCUCAGGUAUCUGUUAGACCUGACACGUUUUCCUCUGUACUGUAGCUGUACUGUCCUAGCUACUUAGUAUUAUUGUGAAAUAGAUUUUUAUUAGAGAUAAUUUGUGUCAAAUUAUUGGUCUUCACUGAAACUUAUGAAAUAAAGUUAAUAUUACCAUCUUAUGAAUGAUAUAUAAUAACAAUAUGUUAUUAAUAAUAUAAAUAUUGUUACUAUUAUAAGAAUCAAAUAGUAUAGAUCUCUGACCUGUGUCUACAGCACUGACUGAUCACAAUUGUAUUUGCGUUUCCAAAGCAAGACAAAUUAAUCUCCAAAAAGGCUGAUGGACUGGACCAGCAUUGACCAUGUAUGGGAAGCUGUGAAGUGGAUCUGAAAAAUAUGUGCAGCAAUCCAGAGGGCCGGAAAGAGGCUACAGAUAACUACAGUGUCAUAAAUAAACAUUAAGAGUUGGUUUGACAUCAUACUAGAGUCUUCCAAAGCAAGACAAUUAAAUCUAAAACAAAGCUUGAUGUAUUUCCAAAUUCAAACUGGACCAGCAGUGAGCAUGUACAGGAACUGAUGCAUAAGUUCCUGUACAUGCUCACUGUUGGUCUAGAGUGCCCCGAGAUUUUUACAGAAUCCAUUUGUCUCAAUGUUAAUUAAUAUUAUAUACCUGGGUUGGGCUUAUCAACAGC
Dicentrarchus labrax (European seabass) is the source of this 5340-nucleotide long non-coding RNA. RefSeq lists it as uncharacterized. The record is from RefSeq and is a predicted model, not a curated record. The transcript is spliced from 6 exons. Lineage: Eukaryota; Metazoa; Chordata; Actinopteri; Moronidae.